UCCAAAGAGCACGCAGAGUGUAUCAGUUGCUUUGCUUGUUCCUGAGACAAAAUAUUUGGCAGAAGCAGUUAAGAGAGAGGUUUAUUCAGCUUACAGUUGCAGAGCGUCUGGGCCGUCAUGGCAACUGGUCAGCACUAACUGUAGCAACAGGUGUUAAGUGGCAGCUUCCAUGUCCUGGUGACCUGGAAAGCAACAGUAGAACUAACACCGAGGCAGGCUCUAAUCCUCAAGGCCCACCCCUCACCAAUAGGCAGGGUCUUAGGGUUUUACUGCUGUCAACAGACACCAUGACCAAGGCAACUUUAAAAAAAAAAAC
RNAcentral lists this long non-coding RNA (316 nucleotides) under Rattus norvegicus (Norway rat). Its description in RNAcentral is "long non-coding RNA NONRATT008138". The record is from RNAcentral. Lineage: Eukaryota; Metazoa; Chordata; Mammalia; Rodentia; Muridae.